Molecule: non-coding RNA, 495 nt
Organism: Hydra vulgaris (swiftwater hydra)
Lineage: Eukaryota; Metazoa; Cnidaria; Hydrozoa; Anthoathecata; Hydridae
Source: RefSeq, a predicted model, not a curated record
CAUUUUCUAAUACUAUUUUAUGUGUUAAAUUAUAAUUAAAAUAAAAGAUACUUUUUUUAAUGAAAUAACAAUUUUUUUUUAUUGUUCAUAAACCCCUCAAGCAUAUUUAUAGGAUUAGGUAUAAUCAGGUAGGUUACUGUAUAUGAAGUUUUAUUUUUUUAAAAAGGCACGCAAUAUGACUUUAUUUUUAUAUAGCUUUUUUUUAAAGUUAUUUCCAUAGCUUUUCAAUUUAAACAAUGUUUCGGUUGUUUUUUUUGUUUUAAAUUAUGCUUAAAUAAUACAAUUAAAUUUAUAUUUAUUCGUAAAUGCACUUAGUAUCUGAAGUUAUUUGUCAAUAACUGGUGAUCAGACUAUUUCAAACGAAUACGUUUCAUAAGGGCUGAGAAGGUGAAAGUUAGAAGUCUGCAGACUGCAACGUAAAUCAAUUUUCAACACAUGGUUUCCUGAAUAUAUUUAGUUUUCGAUUGAAAUGAGAAUAAACUGAACUUAUAGAUA